UUAUUCUUGUGGGGACUAAACUAGGUGAUGCAUUCUUUCCCCGGAUUAUUUGUUGCUUCUGUGAAUGGAUAUUGCCAGGAGCCCGCUUCACUUAGUAUUGAAUUAUUUGUGGGGGUUUUUUUUGUCUAUUUAUCUAUUGUUUUUGAUGAACCAGGAAGCGAAGAAUGACAUUUAAGAGGUCUAAAGGCAAAAAGAAAAUGUUUUUUUUAAUAUUUUUCCUUUUUAUGCACAUCUGUCAUUCAAAUCCAUUGUAUAUACUUACAGAUCGACUUCAUUCAUAUGAAUGUGCUCAUGAGGAUACAUGCAUGGUGGUUUGAUAAGAAUCUGUUCAUAUCCCUUGCAGCCUUCUUUGACUUUCU
RNAcentral lists this unclassified non-coding RNA (359 nucleotides) under Hevea brasiliensis (rubber tree). Lineage: Eukaryota; Viridiplantae; Streptophyta; Magnoliopsida; Malpighiales; Euphorbiaceae. The record is from RNAcentral.